UGGGGGAUAUUGCACAAUGGGCGAAAGCCUGAUGCAGCGACGCCGCGUGGGGGAUGAAGGCUUUCGGGUUGUAAACCUCUUUCGCUAUCGAACAAGGCCCGCUUAGGGUGGGUUGAGGGUAGGUGGAGAAGAAGCGCCGGCUAACUACGUGCCAGCAGCCGCGGUAAUACGUAGGGCGCGAGCGUUGUCCGGAAUUAUUGGGCGUAAAGGGCUUGUAGGCGGCUUGUUGCGCCUGCUGUGAAAACGCGGGGCUUAACUUCGCGCGUGCAGUGGGUACGGGCAGGCUUGAGUGUGGUAGGGGUGACUGGAAUUCCAGGUGUAGCGGUGGAAUGCGCAGAUAUCUGGAGGAACACCGAUGGCGAAGGCAGGUCACUGGGCCACUACUGACGCUGAGGAGCGAAAGCAUGGGUAGCGAACAGG
Molecule: ribosomal RNA, 420 nt
Filed under: bacterium
Lineage: Bacteria
Description: partial 16S ribosomal RNA
Rfam family: Bacterial small subunit ribosomal RNA
Source: RNAcentral